ACGUCAGGGCCUAAGGUUAUUAACCUUAAACUUUUCCUCCCUACUGAAAGUGCUUUACAACCCUAAGGCCUUCUUCACACACGCGGCAUUGCUGCAUCAGAGUUUCCUCCAUUGUGCAAUAUUCCCC
This 127-nucleotide ribosomal RNA is filed under the name uncultured bacterium. RNAcentral describes it as "partial 16S ribosomal RNA". The record is from RNAcentral.